Non-coding RNA from Podarcis lilfordi (Lilford's wall lizard), 69 nucleotides. The record is from the annotation of a GenBank genome assembly. NCBI's taxonomy places the organism in Eukaryota, Metazoa, Chordata, Lepidosauria, Squamata, Lacertidae.
GGAUAGCUCAGUCAGUAGAGCAUGAGACUCUUAAUCUCAAGGUCAUAGCUUCGAGCCCCACGUUGGGCA